RNAcentral lists this unclassified non-coding RNA (332 nucleotides) under soil metagenome. RNAcentral's name for it is "partial contains 5.8S ribosomal RNA, internal transcribed spacer 2, and large subunit ribosomal RNA". The stretch from base 1 to 120 matches the Rfam family "5.8S ribosomal RNA", at positions 35 to 154 of the family's 154-position model. The record is from RNAcentral.
GAUGAAGAACGUAGCAAAAUGCGAUAAGUAAUGUGAAUUGCAGAAUUCAGUGAAUCAUCGAAUCUUUGAACGCACAUUGCGCCCGCCAGUAUUCUAGCGGGCAUGCCUGUUCGAGCGUCAUUUCAACCCUCAAGCACAGCUUGGUGUUGGGACUCGCGUUAAUUCGCGUUCCCCAAAUUGAUUGGCGGUCACGUCGAGCUUCCAUAGCGUAGUAGUAAAACCCUCGUUACUGGUAAUCGUCGCGGCCACGCCGUUAAACCCCAACUUCUGAAUGUUGACCUCGGAUCAGGUAGGAAUACCCGCUGAACUUAAGCAUAUCAAUAAGCGGAGGA